UACAGAGGGUGCAAGCGUUAAUCGGAAUUACUGGGCGUAAAGCGUGCGCAGGCGGCGCGUUAAGACAGGUGUGAAAGCCCCCGAGCUUAACUUGGGAAUUGCGCUUGUGACUGGCGUGCUGGAGUGUGGCAGAGGGAGGUGGAAUUCCACGUGUAGCAGUGAAAUGCGUAGAGAUGAUGGAGGAACACCGAUGGCGAAGGCAGCCUCCUGGGCCAGCACUGACGCUCAUGCACGAAAGCGUGGGGAGCAAACAGGA
RNAcentral lists this ribosomal RNA (256 nucleotides) under uncultured bacterium. Its description in RNAcentral is "partial 16S ribosomal RNA". It matches the Rfam family "Bacterial small subunit ribosomal RNA", at positions 524 to 777 of the family's 1533-position model. The record is from RNAcentral.